GCUCCCCUGUGUUAUUCGUGAUAAGUGAACAUUUUUUUGAGCCAACACCUUUUAACUUAUAGAUAGCCGCUUAAUGCCGGUGUGUACUGCCCUUUGGGGAUAGUCCUUAUGGCUUGACGACUGUCAAUAUUAAGAUUUAAGGUUCAAAGAAAGCACCUACACGGUAAUUUGGGGGGGAC
This 179-nucleotide non-coding RNA is filed under the name Deltaproteobacteria bacterium. Its description in RNAcentral is "6S RNA". It matches the Rfam family "6S / SsrS RNA". From Rfam's summary of the family: E. coli 6S RNA was the first non coding RNA to be sequenced, but its function was unknown until recently. It consists of 184 nucleotides that fold into an extended hairpin structure with a large single-stranded internal bulge. The record is from RNAcentral. Lineage: Bacteria; Pseudomonadati; Myxococcota; Myxococcia.